CAGCAGCCGCGGUAAUGAGAAGGGGGCUAGCGUUGCUCGGAAUUACUGGGCGUAAAGGGAGCGUAGGCGGGUCGUUUAGUCAGAGGUGAAAUCCCGGGGCUCAACCUCGGAACUGCCUUUGAUACUGGCGACCUUGAGUAUGGGAGAGGUGAGUGGAACUCCGAGUGUAGAGGUGAAAUUCGUAGAUAUUCGGAAGAACACCAGUGGCGAAAGCGACUCACUGGCCCAUUACUGACGCUGAGGCUCGAAAGCGUGGGGAGCAAACAGGAUUAGAUACCCGUGUAGUCCCUGUCUCUUAUAA
RNAcentral lists this ribosomal RNA (301 nucleotides) under uncultured bacterium. Its description in RNAcentral is "partial 16S ribosomal RNA". It matches the Rfam family "Bacterial small subunit ribosomal RNA", at positions 509 to 809 of the family's 1533-position model. The record is from RNAcentral.